This 492-nucleotide ribosomal RNA is filed under the name uncultured bacterium. RNAcentral describes it as "bacterial SSU rRNA". It matches the Rfam family "Bacterial small subunit ribosomal RNA", at positions 903 to 1397 of the family's 1533-position model. The record is from RNAcentral.
AAAUGAAUUGACGGGGGCCCGCACAAGCAGCGGAGCAUGUGGUUUAAUUCGAAGCAACGCGAAGAACCUUACCUAGACUUGACAUCUCCUGCAUUACCCUUAAUCGGGGAAGUUCCUUCGGGAACAGGAAGACAGGUGGUGCAUGGUUGUCGUCAGCUCGUGUCGUGAGAUGUUGGGUUAAGUCCCGCAACGAGCGCAACCCCUAUUGUUAGUUGCUACCAUUAAGUUGAGCACUCUAGCGAGACUGCCCGGGUUAACCGGGAGGAAGGUGGGGAUGACGUCAAAUCAUCAUGCCCCUUAUGUCUAGGGCUACACACGUGCUACAAUGGUCAGUACAAUGAGAUGCAAACUCGCGAGGGUGAGCAAAACUAUAAAACUGAUCUCAGUUCGGAUUGCAGGCUGAAACUCGCCUGCAUGAAGCUGGAGUUGCUAGUAAUCGCGAAUCAGAAUGUCGCGGUGAAUACGUUCCCGGGCCUUGUACACACCGCCCGU